Molecule: transfer RNA, 36 nt
Filed under: Asparagus officinalis (garden asparagus)
Lineage: Eukaryota; Viridiplantae; Streptophyta; Magnoliopsida; Asparagales; Asparagaceae
Also listed under: 6 other names
Description: partial tRNA-Leu
Source: RNAcentral
GACUUGAAAAAUCCGUCGACUUUAGAAAUCGUGAGG